CCUACGGGAGGCAGCAGUAGGGAAUAUUGGACAAUGGGGGAAACCCUGAUCCAGCAAUGCCGCGUGAGCGAUGAAGGCCUUAGGGUUGUAAAGCUCUUUUACCCGGAUACAGUAUCGGGAGAAUAAGCCCGGCUAACUCCGUGCCAGCAGCCGCGGUAAUACGGGGGGGCUAGCGUUGUUCGGAAUUACUGGGCGUAAAGCGCACGUAGGCGGCGAUUUAAGUCAGAGGUGAAAGCCCGGGGCUCAACCCCGGAACUGCCUUUGAGACUGGAUUGCUAGAAUCUUGGAGAGGCGAGUGGAAUUCCGAGUGUAGAGGUGAAAUUCGUAGAUAUUCGGAAGAACACCAGUGGCGAAGGCGGCUCGCUGGACAGAUUGACGCUGAGGUGCGAAAGCGUGGGGAGCAAACAGGAUUAGAUACCCUAGUAGUC
RNAcentral lists this ribosomal RNA (428 nucleotides) under uncultured bacterium. RNAcentral describes it as "partial 16S ribosomal RNA". It matches the Rfam family "Bacterial small subunit ribosomal RNA", at positions 338 to 795 of the family's 1533-position model. The record is from RNAcentral.